UGGGGAAUUUUGGACAAUGGGGGAAACCCUGAUCCAGCCAUCCCGCGUGUGCGAUGAAGGCCUUCGGGUUGUAAAGCACUCUUGGCAGGAAAGAAACGUCAUGGGUUAAUACCCCGUGAAACUGACGGUACCUGCAGAAUAGGCACCGGCUAACUACGUGCCAGCAGCCGCGGUAAUACGUAGGGUGCAAGCGUUAAUCGGAAUUACUGGGCGUAAAGCGUGCGCAGGCGGUUCGGAAAGAAAGAUGUGAAAUCCCAGAGCUCAACUUUGGAACUGCAUUUUUAACUACCGGGCUAGAGUGUGUCAGAGGGAGGUGGAAUUACGCGUGUAGCAGUGAAAUGCGUAGAUAUGCGGAGGAACACCGAUGGCGAAGGCAGCCUCCUGGGAUAACACUGACGCUAAUGCACGAAAGCGUGGGGAGCAAACAGG
This 429-nucleotide ribosomal RNA is filed under the name Acidobacteriota bacterium. RNAcentral's name for it is "Acidobacteria bacterium partial 16S ribosomal RNA". It matches the Rfam family "Bacterial small subunit ribosomal RNA", at positions 355 to 776 of the family's 1533-position model. Lineage: Bacteria; Pseudomonadati; Acidobacteriota. The record is from RNAcentral.